UUUUGGGGAACUGCCUCUUUACAUUCAAUGUAUCGUACUGUAGUGAGAGAGGGGGAGAGACAGACACUACAGGAGGUGACAGCAACAGAGCCUCAGUUUGGUAAAGAUCACAGCAACUCGCCAAGAAGUAAUACCAGCAUGCUAUCAUUAGACUGUCUGAUUGUUUGCUAUCACACAAUUGGUCUAACAACAUAACUAAACUGUGUUUGUGUGUGUGUAUGUGUGUGUGUGUGUGUGUGUGUUUGUAAUGGCCCAUAUUAAAAGAAGAAUCUUGUGUGUAACCAAUGCUUCUCUUUCUUUGUGUGUGUCAUGGAAUGAGGAAGAGGAAUUAAGUGACUUGACUCUUUGCAAUUCUUUUGAAUAUGCCGCCAUGAGACCCAGUAGGAUGCCCCAAAUAUUCAGCUCAUCCCAUACUGGUCAGUGAUCGCACACGCUCAUCAUCGCACAAUCAUUCGCUGAGCAGUGAGGGAUCACCGAAGGUGCUUUAUGCUAAAAACUGCUGAGAGGAUGGAUGAAGACCAGCCAGCACAGGUGAAGGGACGGAUGGAUACGUCACCAUGGCAUCCAGCAGGAACCCACAAAAGCCCAUUACAUCCAGAAUGCCUGCCAGCACAGGUGAAGGGACAGAUGGAUACGUCACCAUGAAGUCCAGCAGGAACCCACAAAAGCCCAUUACAUCCAGAAUGCCUGCCAGCACAGGUGAAGGGACGGAUGGAUACGUCACCAUGACACCCAGCAGGAACCCAUAAAAGUCCAUUACAUCCAGAAUGCCAGGU
Long non-coding RNA from Clupea harengus (Atlantic herring), 776 nucleotides. RefSeq lists it as uncharacterized. Lineage: Eukaryota; Metazoa; Chordata; Actinopteri; Clupeiformes; Clupeidae. The transcript has 4 exons. The record is from RefSeq and is a predicted model, not a curated record.